UGGGGAAUAUUGGACAAUGGGCGCAAGCCUGAUCCAGCCAUGCCGCGUGAGUGAUGAAGGCCUUAGGGUUGUAAAGCUCUUUCACCCACGACGAUAAUGACGGUAGUGGGAGAAGAAGCCCCGGCUAACUUCGUGCCAGCAGCCGCGGUAAUACGUAGGUGGCAAGCGUUGUCCGGAUUUAUUGGGUUUAAAGGGUGCGUAGGCGGCCUAUUAAGUCAGUUCUGAAAUAUCCCGGCUUAACCGGGAGGGUGGGAUUGAUACUGAUGGGCUUGAGUGGAAUCGAGGUAGGCGGAAUUGACGGUGUAGCGGUGAAAUGCUUAGAUAUCGUCAAGAACACCGAUAGUGUAGACAGCUUACUAGACUUCAACUGACGCUGAGGCACGAAAGUGUGGGGAUCAAA
Molecule: ribosomal RNA, 400 nt
Filed under: uncultured bacterium
Lineage: Bacteria
Description: bacterial SSU rRNA
Rfam family: Bacterial small subunit ribosomal RNA
Source: RNAcentral